RNAcentral lists this ribosomal RNA (427 nucleotides) under uncultured bacterium. RNAcentral's name for it is "bacterial SSU rRNA". It matches the Rfam family "Bacterial small subunit ribosomal RNA", at positions 34 to 507 of the family's 1533-position model. The record is from RNAcentral.
CGCUGGCGGCAUGCCUAACACAUGCAAGUCGAACGAAGGCUUCGGCCUUAGUGGCGCACGGGUGCGUAACGCGUGGGAAUCUGCCCUUGGGUUCGGAAUAACUCAGAGAAAUUUGAGCUAAUACCGGAUGAUGACGUAAGUCCAAAGAUUUAUCGCCCAAGGAUGAGCCCGCGUAAGAUUAGCUAGUUGGUGGGGUAAAGGCCUACCAAGGCGACGAUCUUUAGCUGGUCUGAGAGGAUGAUCAGCCGCACUGGGACUGAGACACGGCCCAGACUCCUACGGGAGGCAGCAGUGGGGAAUAUUGGACAAUGGGCGAAAGCCUGAUCCAGCAAUGCCGCGUGAGUGAUGAAGGCCUUAGGGUUGUAAAGCUCUUUUACCAGGGAUGAUAAUGACAGUACCUGGAGAAUAAGCUCCGGCUAACUCCGUG